Molecule: ribosomal RNA, 702 nt
Filed under: uncultured bacterium
Lineage: Bacteria
Description: bacterial SSU rRNA
Rfam family: Bacterial small subunit ribosomal RNA
Source: RNAcentral
CCGUAAAACGAUGUCGACUUGGAGGUUGUUCCCUUGAGGAGUGGCUUCCGGAGCUAACGCGUUAAGUCGACCGCCUGGGGAGUACGGCCGCAAGGUUAAAACUCAAAUGAAUUGACCGGGGGCCCGCACAAGCGGUGGAGCAUGUGGUUUAAUUCGAUGCAACGCGAAGAACCUUACCUACUCUUGACAUCCACGGAAUUUGGCAGAGAUGCCUUAGUGCCUUCGGGAACCGUGAGACAGGUGCUGCAUGGCUGUCGUCAGCUCGUGUUGUGAAAUGUUGGGUUAAGUCCCGCAACGAGCGCAACCCUUAUCCUUUGUUGCCAGCGAUUCGGUCGGGAACUCAAAGGAGACUGCCGGUGAUAAACCGGAGGAAGGUGGGGAUGACGUCAAGUCAUCAUGGCCCUUACGAGUAGGGCUACACACGUGCUACAAUGGCGCAUACAAAGAGAAGCGACCUCGCGAGAGCAAGCGGACCUCACAAAGUGCGUCGUAGUCCGGAUCGGAGUCUGCAACUCGACUCCGUGAAGUCGGAAUCGCUAGUAAUCGUGGAUCAGAAUGCCACGGUGAAUACGUUCCCGGGCCUUGUACACACCGCCCGUCACACCAUGGGAGUGGGUUGCAAAAGAAGUAGGUAGCUUAACCUUCGGGAGGGCGCUUACCACUUUGUGAUUCAUGACUGGGGUGAAGUCGUAANNAGGUACC